RNAcentral lists this ribosomal RNA (2106 nucleotides) under Eugerdella sp. VTDes098. RNAcentral describes it as "SSU rRNA". It matches the Rfam family "Eukaryotic small subunit ribosomal RNA". Lineage: Eukaryota; Metazoa; Arthropoda; Malacostraca; Isopoda; Desmosomatidae. The record is from RNAcentral.
CCUGCCAGUCAUAUGCUUGUCUCAAAGAUUAAGCCAUGCAUGUCUGAGUACAGACCUAUCUAAGGUGAAACCGCGAAUGGCUCAUUAAAUCAGUCAUAAUUCCUUGGAUAGUGAUAAAACUUCCUCGGAUAACUGUGGAAAAUCCAGAGCUAAUACGUGCAACUGAGCUCCGACCUCGGCGCGAGUCGUGGGAAGAGCGCAUUUAUUAGAUUCAAAACUGACCGGCGUACUCCUUCGGGAUACGUCGUUUGUCAAAAGUUUGAUGACUCCGGAUAACUUAGCCGAGCGCUACGGUCUUUAGUACCGGCGCCGUAUCUUUCAAGUGUCUGCCUUAUCAGCUUUCGAUUGUAGGUUAAACGCCUACAAUGGCUGUAACGGGUAACGGGGAAUCAGGGUUCGAUUCCGGAGAGGGAGCCUGAGAAACGGCUACCACAUCUAAGGAAGGCAGCAGGCACGCAAAUUACCCACUCCCAGCAAGGGGAGGUAGUGACGAAAAAUAACGAUGCGAGACUCUUCCGAGGCCUCGCAAUCGGAAUGAGUCCAUUUUAAAUCCUUGGACGAGGAUCCAUUGGAGGGCAAGUCUGGUGCCAGCAGCCGCGGUAAUUCCAGCUCCAAUAGCGUAUAUUAAAGUUGCUGCGGUUGAAAAGCUCGUAGUUGGACUUUCUAGAUCCAUUUCGCGGGUGAGUCGCUCUUUGUACUGGCGUCUCGCGCGGUUCCUUGAUGACGAAUGGUCUCGUUCGCUCGUUUUUCUUUCGGGAAAUUCGUCGCGUUCGGACGUUCAGAUUCUCGCGGACGGCGAGCGUUGUCUCCGAGUAUAGCUCGCCCGCGUUUGGUACAAUUAAAAAUUUGUCGGCUCGCUCGGAGUGCUCUUUACCGAGUGUUCCAGGGUGGCUGACACGUUCACUUUGAAAAAAUUAGAGUGCUUAAAGCGGGCUUAUUUACGGCCUGAAUGUCUGUGCAUGGAAUGAAGUAACAGGACCUCGAUUCUGUUGUUUUUGUCGGUUUUAAUGAACCGAGGUAAUGAUUAAAAGGGACAGACGGUGGCAUUAGUAUUGCGACGCUAGAGGUGAAAUUCUUGGACCGUCGCACGACUAACUACUGCGAAAGCAUUUGCCGAGAAUGUUUUCAUUAAUCAAGAACGAAAGUUAGAGGAUCGAAGGCGAUCAGAUACCGCCCUAGUUCUAACCCUAAACUAUGCUAACUAGCGAUCCGCCGGAGUCAUUCCCACGACCCGGCGGGAAGCCCCAGGGAAACCAAAGUCUUUGAGUUCCGGGGGAAGUAUGGUUGCAAAGCUGAAACUUAAAGGAAUUGACGGAAGGGCACCACCAGGAGUGGAGCCUGCGGCUUAAUUUGACUCAACACGGGAAACCUCACCAGGCCCGGACGUGAUAAGGAUUGACAGGUUGAGAGCUCUUUCUCGAUUUGACGGGUGGUGGUGCAUGGCCGUUCUUAGUUGGUGGAGUGAUCUGUCUGGUUGAUUCCGAUAACGAACGAGACUCUACCCUACUAACUAGUCGGCGGAUCGAUACCCUGAGAUGGUUAGUCGGUAUAAGGGAGUUUUGCCGAAAACGAUCGAGUCUCCACAAUGGGAGAGCGUGCUAUCUCGCCCGCUUAGCGGCGGUGUCGAUUCGCGUCUCUCUCGUAGGUUUCUCUUUCGUCCAAGCUGCUCUCCGAUUACUACUACUGCUGGGGGCGUCCGUCGCAAUGUAUCUUCUUAGAGGGAUCAGCGGCGUAUAGCCGCACGAGAAAGAGCAAUAACAGGUCUGUGAUGCCCUUAGAUGUUCUGGGCCGCACGCGCGCUACAAUGUACAGUACAGCGUGCUUUCCAUCUCCGAAAGGAGCGGGUAACCCGUUGAAACCCGUACUCACUUGGGAUUGGGGAUUGCAAUUAUUUCCCAUAAACCAGGAAUUCCCAGUAAGCGCGAGUCACUAACUCGCGCUGAUUACGUCCCUGCCCUUUGUACACACCGCCCGUCGCUACUACCGAUUGAAUGAUUCAGUGAGGGCAUCGGACUGGCCCUUCGGUUUAGUGUUCUAGACCUUAGGCUGACGGAAAGAUGUCCGAACUUGAUCAUUAGAGGAGUAAAAGUCGUACAGGUUUCCGUA